RNAcentral lists this long non-coding RNA (767 nucleotides) under Zostera marina. Its description in RNAcentral is "long non-coding RNA (ZMAR_LNC002224)". The record is from RNAcentral. Lineage: Eukaryota; Viridiplantae; Streptophyta; Magnoliopsida; Alismatales; Zosteraceae.
AGUGCUCAAGUGUCUUAGCUUUCCAAAGCUUCAAAAGCUCUUCAACUUCUUCUUAUAAUCUUCUUGUUCAUCUCUACAAGUAAGAAGUGUUGUUUGCUUUAAUAUUCCACUCCUCUAAUCACCUCUUGUGUGUGUCCACUUUGGUUGAAAGGGUUGUCUCAAUAGUACCAAAGUGUGAGAGAAGGUUUUUGAGCUCAACCAUAAAGCUCUAGUUUGGUUUUAUAGAGUUUCCGGGGAAACUUUUAGGUCAAAUCUACCUUGAAAGAUUUAGAGGCUUUUAAAAGUUUCUUGAUACUCUAAGGUACUAACUUACCCGUAAAAGUUAGAGGUUCUUAAGAGUGCCCUUUAUACUUUAAGGUGCGAGUCUACCCGUAAAAGACUGGUUCCUAAGCGAAGUAGUCUUAAAGCUUAGAGAGGUUCUUAAAAGUUUCUUUGAUACUCUAUGGUUUUGCCAUAACCUUUAGACUAGUGAAUUCCGACAGUUGGUCGGGACUGGAUUAGCCCUUGUUUGGGUGAACCAGUAUAAAUUCUCUUGUGUUGUUCUUUGUUAACUUUAGUUUUUAUUUUUCAUCUAAAAACAACUAAACAACACUUAAUUGAAAAGGAUCUCUCUUCCAGUUAUCUGGUCAAAUACAGAGGUUGACUACUUUACGCAAAUCCCUCAUCCAGUUAUUUGGUCAACUAUCUGAGGUUAUAUUCAUUGCUUUAAAUCUUUACUCAGAUAUUUGUUCAAGCAUUUACUUAUAAAAUAUAUAUCUAGUUAUCUG